Molecule: ribosomal RNA, 854 nt
Filed under: uncultured bacterium
Lineage: Bacteria
Description: bacterial SSU rRNA
Rfam family: Bacterial small subunit ribosomal RNA
Source: RNAcentral
GAGUUUGAUCCUGGCUCAGAACGAACGCUGGCGGCAGGCCUAACACAUGCAAGUCGAGCGAGACCUUCGGGUCUAGCGGCGGACGGGUUAGUAACGCGUGGGAAUGUGCCCUUCUCUGCGGAAUAGCCACUGGAAACGGUGAGUAAUACCGCAUACGCCCUUCGGGGGAAAGAUUUAUCGGAGAAGGAUCGGCCCGCGUUAGAUUAGAUAGUUGGUGGGGUAAUGGCCUACCAAGUCUACGAUCUAUAGCUGGUUUUAGAGGAUGAUCAGCAACACUGGGACUGAGACACGGCCCAGACUCCUACGGGAGGCAGCAGUGGGGAAUCUUAGACAAUGGGCGCAAGCCUGAUCUAGCCAUGCCGCGUGUGUGAUGAAGGUCUUAGGAUCGUAAAGCACUUUCGCCAGGGAUGAUAAUGACAGUACCUGGUAAAGAAACCCCGGCUAACUCCGUGCCAGCAGCCGCGGUAAUACGGAGGGGGUUAGCGUUGUUCGGAAUUACUGGGCGUAAAGCGUACGUAGGCGGAUCAGAAAGUAAGGGGUGAAAUCCCAGGGCUCAACCCUGGAACUGCCUCUUAAACUCCUGGUCUUGAGUUCGAGAGAGGUGAGUGGAAUUCCAAGUGUAGAGGUGAAAUUCGUAGAUGUUUGGAGGAACACCAGUGGCGAAGGCGGCUCACUGGCUCGAUACUGACGCUGAGGUACGAAAGUGUGGGGAGCAAACAGGAUUAGAUACCCUGGUAGUCCACACCGUAAACGAUGAAUGCCAGUCGUCGGGCAGUAUACUGUUCGGUGACACACCUAACGGAUUAAGCAUUCCGCCUGGGGAGUACGGUCGCAAGGUUAAAACUCAAGGAAUU